Molecule: ribosomal RNA, 473 nt
Filed under: uncultured soil bacterium
Lineage: Bacteria
Description: bacterial SSU rRNA
Rfam family: Bacterial small subunit ribosomal RNA
Source: RNAcentral
AGGACGAACGCUGGCGGCGUGCUUAACACAUGCAAGUCGAGCGGUAAGGCCUUUCGGGGUACACGAGCGGCGAACGGGUGAGUAACACGUGGGUGAUCUGCCCUGCACUCUGGGAUAAGCUUGGGAAACUGGGUCUAAUACCGGAUAUGACUGCAUGCCGCAUGGUGUGUGGUGGAAAGAUUUAUCGGUGCAGGAUGGGCCCGCGGCCUAUCAGCUUGUUGGUGGGGUAAUGGCCUACCAAGGCGACGACGGGUAGCCGACCUGAGAGGGUGACCGGCCACACUGGGACUGAGACACGGCCCAGACUCCUACGGGAGGCAGCAGUGGGGAAUAUUGCACAAUGGGCGAAGCCUGAUGCAGCGACGCCGCGUGAGGGAUGAAGGCCUUCGGUUGUAAACCUCUUUCAGCAGGGACGAAGCGUGAGUGACGGUACCUGACAGAAGAAGCACCGGCUAACUACGUGCCAGCAGCCG